RNAcentral lists this ribosomal RNA (443 nucleotides) under uncultured bacterium. RNAcentral's name for it is "partial 16S ribosomal RNA". It matches the Rfam family "Bacterial small subunit ribosomal RNA", at positions 338 to 795 of the family's 1533-position model. The record is from RNAcentral.
CCUACGGGAGGCAGCAGUGGGGAAUCUUGGGCAAUGGGCGCAAGCCUGACCCAGCAACGCCGCGUGAAGGAAGAAGGCUCUCGGGUUGUAAACUUCUUUUAUCAGGGACGAAGCAAGUGAAGGUAACUGAUGAAUAAGCCACGGCUAACUACGUGCCAGCAGCCGCGGGAAUAAGUAGGUGGCAAGCAUUAUCCGGAUUUACUGGGUGUAAAAGGCGUGUAGGGGGUAAAGUAAGACAGAUGGGAAAACCAUGGGAUGAAACUGUGGCCUGCAUUUGAAACUGUUUUUCUUGAGUACUGGAGAGGCAGACGGAAUGCCUAGUGUAGCGGUGAAAUGCGUAGAUAUUAUGAGGAACACCAGUGGCGAAGGCGGUCUGCUGGACAGCAACUGACGCUGAGGCGCGAAAGCGUGGGGAGCAAACAGGAUUAGAUACCCGGGUAGUC